RNAcentral lists this ribosomal RNA (101 nucleotides) under Lonchophylla robusta. Its description in RNAcentral is "partial 16S ribosomal RNA". The record is from RNAcentral. Lineage: Eukaryota; Metazoa; Chordata; Mammalia; Chiroptera; Phyllostomidae.
AAGAGAGACAAGGCCUCCUUAAACCUAAGCGCCUUCUAGCUAAACAAAUGAUUCAACCUCAAUUUGGCAUGCAAUAAACAUUACGCCCCAGACCAGGGCUC